CCUACGGGAGGCUGCAGUGGGGAAUAUUGGACAAUGGGGGGAACCCUGAUCCAGCCAUGCCGCGUGUGUGAAGAAGGCCCUCGGGUUGUAAAGCACUUUCAGUGAGGAAGAACGCCUGGUGGUUAAUACCCAUCAGGAAAGACAUCACUCACAGAAGAAGCAACGGCUAACUCCGUGCCAGCAGCCGCGGUAAUACGGAGGGUGCGAGCGUUAAUCGGAAUUACUGGGCGUAAAGCGCGCGUAGGUGGCUUGAUAAGCCGGUUGUGAAAGCCCCGGGCUCAACCUGGGAACGGCAUCCGGAACUGUCAAGCUAGAGUGCAGGAGAGGAAGGUAGAAUUCCCGGUGUAGCGGUGAAAUGCGUAGAGAUCGGGAGGAAUACCAGUGGCGAAGGCGGCCUUCUGGACUGACACUGACACUGAGGUGCGAAAGCGUGGGUAGCAAACAGGAUUAGAUACCCGUGUAGUC
RNAcentral lists this ribosomal RNA (465 nucleotides) under Vreelandella stevensii. RNAcentral describes it as "partial 16S ribosomal RNA". It matches the Rfam family "Bacterial small subunit ribosomal RNA", at positions 338 to 795 of the family's 1533-position model. The record is from RNAcentral. Lineage: Bacteria; Pseudomonadati; Pseudomonadota; Gammaproteobacteria; Oceanospirillales; Halomonadaceae.